This 477-nucleotide ribosomal RNA is filed under the name uncultured bacterium. Its description in RNAcentral is "bacterial SSU rRNA". It matches the Rfam family "Bacterial small subunit ribosomal RNA", at positions 29 to 524 of the family's 1533-position model. The record is from RNAcentral.
AAUGAACGUUGGCGGCGUGGAUUAGGCAUGCAAGUCGAGCGAGAAGACUUAAAAGAUACUUCGGUUGAUUUUAAGUUGGACAGCGGCGAAAGGGAGAGUAACGAGUAGAUUACGUACCCGAGGGUCCGGGAUAGCUGCGGGAAACUGCAGGUAAUACCGGAUAAUGUUUCCGAACCAAAGAUUUAUUGCCCUCGGAUCGGUCUGCUUACUAUUAGCUUGUUGGUGGGGUAAUGGCCUACCAAGGCGAAGAUGGUUAGCGGGUGUGAGAGCAUGGCCCGUCUCACUGGGACUGAGACACUGCCCAGACACCUACGGGUGGCUGCAGUCGAGAAUCUUCCGCAAUGGACGAAAGUCUGACGGAGCGACGCCGCGUGAUGGAUGAAGGCCCUCGGGUUGUAAACAUCUGUCGUAGGGGAGGAAUUUUGACCGAUCCUAGGAGGAAGCGCAGGCUAAGUUCGUGCCAGCCGCCGCGGUAAU